RNAcentral lists this ribosomal RNA (387 nucleotides) under Orocharis aff. lividus ICCM-2015. RNAcentral's name for it is "partial 12S ribosomal RNA". The record is from RNAcentral. Lineage: Eukaryota; Metazoa; Arthropoda; Insecta; Orthoptera; Gryllidae.
UAUUAUUUUAUAUAAAAGAAUUGGUCUGAGUAGUAAAAUUAUUAAUUAUAAACUCAAAGAAUUUGGCGGUGUUUUAGUCUGUUCAGAGGAAUCUGUUUCGUAAUUGAUAAUACACGAUUAGUUAUACUUAAUUUAUUAAUUUAUAUACCGCUGUCGUAAGAAUAUAUUGUGAAGAUAAUUAAAUUUCUUUUUAUAUAAUAUGAUAAUAAGUCAAGUCAAGGUGUAGUUUAUAAUUGAGUGAUUAUGGAUUACAAUAAAUUUAUUUAAAUGGAUUGUUAAUUUAAAGUUGAUAUAAAGGUGGAUUUGAUUGUAAAUUGAUAUGAAUUAAUUAAUUGAUAUGAGCUCUAAAAUGUGCACAUAUCGCCCGUCACUCUCAUUUAUGAUGAG